ACUCCUACGGGAGGCAGCAGUGGGGAAUAUUGCACAAUGGGGGAAACCCUGAUUGCAGCCAUGCCGCGUGUGUGAAGAAGGCCUUCGGGUUGUAAAGCACUUUCAGUAGGGAGGAAGGUAGUGUAGUUAACACCUGCAUUAUUUGACGUUACCUACAGAAGAAGCACCGGCUAACUCCGUGCCAGCAGCCGCGGUGAUACGUAGGGUGCGAGCGUUGUCCGGAUUUAUUGGGCGUAAAGGGGCUCGUAGGUGGUUGAUCGCGUCGGAAGUGUAAUCUUGGGGCUUAACCCUGAGCGUGCUUUCGAUACGGGUUGACUUGAGGAAGGUAGGGGAGAAUGGAAUUCCUGGUGGAGCGGUGGAAUGCGCAGAUAUCAGGAGGAACACCAGUGGCGAAGGCGGUUCUCUGGGCCUUUCCUGACGCUGAGGAGCGAAAGCGUGGGGAGCGAACAGGCUUAGAUACCCUGGUAG
RNAcentral lists this ribosomal RNA (468 nucleotides) under uncultured bacterium. RNAcentral describes it as "bacterial SSU rRNA". It matches the Rfam family "Bacterial small subunit ribosomal RNA", at positions 335 to 793 of the family's 1533-position model. The record is from RNAcentral.